Molecule: ribosomal RNA, 476 nt
Filed under: uncultured organism
Description: partial 16S ribosomal RNA
Rfam family: Bacterial small subunit ribosomal RNA
Source: RNAcentral
ACACUCCUACGGGAGGCAGCAGUGGGGAAUUUUGGACAAUGGGCGAAAGCCUGAUCCAGCAAUGCCGCGUGAGUGAAGAAGGCCUUCGGGUUGUAAAGCUCUUUUGUCAGGGAAGAAACGGUGAGAGCUAAUAUCUUUUGCUAAUGACGGUACCUGAAGAAUAAGCACCGGCUAACUACGUGCCAGCAGCCGCGGUAAUACGUAGGGUGCAAGCGUUAAUCGGAAUUACUGGGCGUAAAGCGUGCGCAGGCGGUUUUGUAAGUCUGAUGUGAAAUCCCCGGGCUCAACCUGGGAAUUGCAUUGGAGACUGCAAGGCUAGAAUCUGGCAGAGGGGGGUAGAAUUCCACGUGUAGCAGUGAAAUGCGUAGAUAGGUGGAGGAACACCGAUGGCGAAGGCAGCCCCCUGGGUCAAGAUGGACGCUCAUGCACGAAAGCGUGGGGAGCAAACAGGAUUAGAAACCCGUGUAGUCCCAUGA